RNAcentral lists this ribosomal RNA (694 nucleotides) under uncultured bacterium. RNAcentral describes it as "bacterial SSU rRNA". It matches the Rfam family "Bacterial small subunit ribosomal RNA", at positions 32 to 715 of the family's 1533-position model. The record is from RNAcentral.
AACGCUAGCUACAGGCUUAACACAUGCAAGUCGCGGGGUAACGAGAGGGAAGCUUGCUUUCCUUGUCGACGACCGGCGCACGGGUGAGUAACGCGUAUCCAACCUGCCCAUUACCACGGGAUACCCCGUCGAAAGGCGGCCUAAUACCGUAUGCAGUCGUCAGAUGACAUCAGAGGACGACGAAAGGAUUGGCGGUAAUGGAUGGGGAUGCGUCUGAUUAGGUAGUUGGAGGGGUAACGGCCCACCAAGGCAACGAUCAGUAGGGGUUCUGAGAGGAAGGUCCCCCACAUUGGAACUGAGACACGGUCCAAACUCCUACGGGAGGCAGCAGUGAGGAAUAUUGGUCAAUGGGCGCGAGCCUGAACCAGCCAAGUAGCGUGAGGGAUGACGGCCCUAUGGGUUGUAAACCUCUUUUAUGCGGGAAUAAAAUGUUUGACGUGUCAUACAUUGUAGGUACCGCAAGAAUAAGGACCGGCUAAUUCCGUGCCAGCAGCCGCGGUAAUACGGAAGGUCCAGGCGUUAUCCGGAUUUAUUGGGUUUAAAGGGAGCGUAGGCCGCAAGUCAAGCGUGUUGUGAAAUGCAGGGGCUCAACCUCUGGAUUGCAGCGCGAACUGGCAUGCUUGAGUACGCACGAGGUAGGCGGAAUUUGUGGUGUAGCGGUGAAAUGCUUAGAUAUCACGAAGAACUCCGAUUG